CGAGGUCUCGAGCGUUAGGCGGAAUCACUGGGCUUAAAGCGUGUGUAGGUGGAUCGUUAAGUACCUUGUGAAACCCCACGGCUUAACCGUGGAACUGCUUGGUAUACUGGCGGUCUUGAGCCAGCUAGGGGCUACCGGAACAAAUGGUGGAGCGGUGAAAUGCGUAGAUAUCAUUUGGAACGCCAAUGGUGAAAACAGGUAGCUGGGGCUGUGCUGACACUGAGACACGAAAGCCAGGGGAGCAAACGGGAUUAGAUACCCCGGUAGUCCUGGCCGUAAACGAUGUCGACUAGAUCGUAGUUCCUUCAACGGUAUUACGGUCGAAGCAAAAGUGCUAAGUCGACCGCCUGGGAAGUACGGUCGCAAGGCUA
This 371-nucleotide ribosomal RNA is filed under the name uncultured organism. RNAcentral describes it as "bacterial SSU rRNA". It matches the Rfam family "Bacterial small subunit ribosomal RNA", at positions 527 to 896 of the family's 1533-position model. The record is from RNAcentral.